AGCUCCAAUAGCGUAUAUUUAAGUUGUUGCAGUUAGAAAAGGCUCGUAGUUGGAUUUCUGGAGGUGGCGACAGGCGCGUGGUCAAGGCCACGCCCAGUCUACUCCUUCAUCCUUCUGUUAACGAUGCUCGGCAUUCAGUUGUCGACUUCGGGCUCAGAUACUUUACCAUUUUAUUUUACUUUGAGCAAAUUAGAGUGUUUCAGGCAGGCGUGCGCCGGAAUACAUUAGCAUGGAAUAAUCGAACAGGACCGUGUUCCUUUUGUUGGUUUCUAAGGGCAUGGUAAUGAUUAAUAGGGAUAGUAUUUUUAAAAGGGGUGGCAUUAGUAUUUAAGAUUCAGAGGUGAAAUUCUUUGACAUAAUUAAAGACUAACUUAUGCGAAAGCAUUUGUCAAGAAUGUUU
RNAcentral lists this ribosomal RNA (400 nucleotides) under phytoplankton environmental sample. RNAcentral's name for it is "partial small subunit ribosomal RNA". It matches the Rfam family "Eukaryotic small subunit ribosomal RNA", at positions 587 to 969 of the family's 1831-position model. The record is from RNAcentral.